CCCAGUUAAAUCCAAGCGCUCCGGACAAAACCCAGUCCAAAAGACACAGAGAGAAAGAAACAAAGCGAUAGAGAAUUCCAAUUUCCUUUGGAGAGAGAGAGGAAAGCACUCUCUUUUCCUCCUCCUCCAAGGCCAACAAAAUAUAUCGCUCUUUUAUUCUUCCCCUUUAAAGGGGAACCACCGAGCCAGCCUAAAGCUAGGAAGAGCUCCACUCUACCUGGUUUAUUUGGAGGGGAGUAUGUGUUUUCUUGAUGCUUGUUUCGUGUGGUGGGGUGGUGGGCGGUGAGUUUAAAGCGCCCCGGGUGGUUCUCUUUAACGUGUCCUUUGGAAUAUCUUUUCAGAGGGUAUGAGCUUUAGAAGUGAUAUGGAUUCCACAGCUUAUCAAAGCAAAAGAAGAAAAGGUUUUGGCUACAAGAAUCUUUCCCCUUGUUGUUCUUCUAUUCUGUAGGGGAUCUAUGUCUCCAUGCUUGUGAUUUUAGCUUAAGAAAAAUGAUUAUCAUUUACUAUCUCUGGCUGGUAUGUGAAUUUCGAGUACAAUGACUCGUACAUUGAGAUAUCGUUGUAGAGAUGUGAGGUUUGAUUGGUGCAAUACAUCAUUGCCUAAUAUUCUCUUGGUAUCUUGGUUUCUACUUGUAUUUCAUACAACAUAAUCUCUUCGAGCUAGCGAAGGUUGAUUUUGAAAAAAAAAAGAAGAAAUCUAAGUUUCUUGAUAUGUGUUUGCCUUGAGGCUAA
Molecule: non-coding RNA, 732 nt
Organism: Elaeis guineensis (African oil palm)
Lineage: Eukaryota; Viridiplantae; Streptophyta; Magnoliopsida; Arecales; Arecaceae
Source: RefSeq, a predicted model, not a curated record